Molecule: small RNA, 1012 nt
Filed under: Pongo abelii (Sumatran orangutan)
Lineage: Eukaryota; Metazoa; Chordata; Mammalia; Primates; Hominidae
Description: processed transcript
Source: RNAcentral
CAGUGGCCAAUGAUUUCAUCAACCAUGCCUGCAUGAUGAAGCCUCCAUAAAACCCUAACCAAAGCGGUUAGGAGAACUUCUGGGGUGAGAAGUCAUUUCUCCUUAUGGCUGACCCUGUAUUGAGAAUGAUACCUGGAGUGCCAGCUAGCUGACACAUAUCAGAUAGGAUUCGAGUAGAAUGUUGCAGAAACCCAGAGGACAUUUCUGAACACUUUACACUACUCAAGGUGGCAAAGGAGAGACAUGGAGCCAUUUGAGGUCAGAAGACUUCAUCAUACCUGGCAAUGGAUAUGUUUUUAAUUAAAACCUGGGUACAAAAUUGGGUUGACUAUGAAUCAUUGUGAUGCCUGAUCACUCUCCUAAGACACCCACCAUCAUUGGUACUGGUUGCUGGCUCUCGACACCGGAGGCCACUUUGUGUACUUAGCAGUUAGAAAGGUGAUGUGUGAGGCCCGGCAGCUGUUGAUGUUACAGCUAUUGUGUGGGAAACAAAAGCCAUUCUGUUCUGUUCCCCAGCCUGCCUUUGUAUCACUGAUACAGGAGCUGUUUCAUAAAUGAGAAACUAUAUCAAUCUAGGAAGUUUUCAGUAGCAUAUAAAAAACAAACUGGCCUAAACAAUCAAAGAAAUGCAGUGGGCUGUGUCGUUCUUCCCAGCCUUCAUCCCUCCCUGGGCUGUGUCCUUUGCUGUGUGAUUUUGAGGUUCCUCCCUCUAAAGAUGAGUUAUGCUUUAAACCAUACAAACAGAAAACUAACAUUGGAACCUAAAAUUACUGUCAAUGCCAAGAUCAUUGUGGUUGGUGCAUCCAGUGUUGGAAUUUCCUUCCUAGAGACAUUGGUAUUUUGAAUCUUUUGAAGAGCCUGUAAUGGCACUAGAAAAAUGCUUGCUGGAGUCAUGGAUGACAGUGACUGAAAGCAGCCCAGCCGGUGUCCCCGCGACCCUCCAUGUGACUAGAGAGAAACACUGAUUCACGGAAAACACUGGUGGGCACUGGAAAGCCUGGGUUCCCCUUGU